GAUGAACGCUGGCGGCGUGCCUAACACAUGCAAGUCGAGCGAUUUACUUCGGUAAAGAGCGGCGGACGGGUGAGUAACGCGUGGGUAACCUGCCCUGUACACACGGAUAACAUACCGAAAGGUAUGCUAAUACGAGAUAAUAUGCUUUUAUCGCAUGGUAGAAGUAUCAAAGCUCCGGCGGUACAGGAUGGACCCGCGUCUGAUUAGCUAGUUGGUAAGGUAACGGCUUACCAAGGCGACGAUCAGUAGCCGACCUGAGAGGGUGAUAGGCCACAGUGGAACUGAGACACGGUCCAAACUCCUGCGGGAGGCAGCAGUGGGGAAUAUUGCACAAUGGGCGAAAGCUUGAUGCAGCAACGCCGCGUGAGCGAUGAAGGCCUUCGGGUCGUAAAGCUCUGUCCUCAAGGAAGAUAAUGACGGUACUUGAGGAGGAAGCCCCGGCUAACUACGUGCCAGCCGCCGCCGUAA
RNAcentral lists this ribosomal RNA (468 nucleotides) under uncultured bacterium. RNAcentral's name for it is "partial 16S ribosomal RNA". It matches the Rfam family "Bacterial small subunit ribosomal RNA", at positions 28 to 523 of the family's 1533-position model. The record is from RNAcentral.